GACGAACGCUGGCGGCGUGCCUAAUACAUGCAAGUCGAACGCUUCCUUCCUCCCGAGUGCUUGCACUCAAUUGGAAAGAGGAGUGGCGGACGGGUGAGUAACACGUGGGUAACCUACCCAUCAGAGGGGGAUGACACUUGGAAACAGGUGCUAAUACCGCAUAACAGUUUAUGCCGCAUGGCAUAAGAGUGAAAGGCGCUUUCGGGUGUCGCUGAUGGAUGGACCCGCGGUGCAUUAGCUAGUUGGUGAGGUAACGGCUCACCAAGGCCACGAUGCAUAGCCGACCUGAGAGGGUGAUCGGCCACACUGGGACUGAGACACGGCCCAGACUCCUACGGGAGGCAGCAGUAGGGAAUCUUCGGCAAUGGACGAAAGUCUGACCGAGCAACGCCGCGUGAGUGAAGAAGGUUUUCGGAUCGUAAAACUCUGUUGUUAGGGAAGAACAAGGACGUUAGUAACUGAACGUCCCCUGACGGUAUCUAACCAGAAAACCACGGCGAACUACGU
Molecule: ribosomal RNA, 507 nt
Filed under: uncultured bacterium
Lineage: Bacteria
Description: partial 16S ribosomal RNA
Rfam family: Bacterial small subunit ribosomal RNA
Source: RNAcentral